Molecule: long non-coding RNA, 341 nt
Filed under: Homo sapiens (human)
Lineage: Eukaryota; Metazoa; Chordata; Mammalia; Primates; Hominidae
Description: non-protein coding lnc-ABCB1-2:5
Source: RNAcentral
CUACUUUAUUCAGAUAUUCUCCAGAUUCCUAAAGAUUAGAGAUCAUUUCUCAUUCUCCUAGGAGUACUCACUUCAGGAAGCAACCAGAUAAAAAGAGGUGCAACGGAAGCCAGAACAUUCCUCCUGGAAAUUCAACCUGUUUCGCAGUUUCUCGAGGAAUCAGCAUUCAGUCAAUCCGGGCCGGGAGCAGUCAUCUGUGUCUUUCCACUAAAGUCGGAGUAUCUUCUUCCAAAAUUUCACGUCUUGGUGGCCGUUCCAAGGAGCGCGAGUCGGAAUGGAUCUUGAAGGGGACCGCAAUGGAGGAGCAAAGAAGAAGAACUUUUUUAAACUGAACAAUAAAA